RNAcentral lists this ribosomal RNA (425 nucleotides) under uncultured bacterium. Its description in RNAcentral is "partial 16S ribosomal RNA". It matches the Rfam family "Bacterial small subunit ribosomal RNA", at positions 354 to 796 of the family's 1533-position model. The record is from RNAcentral.
GUUAGGAAUAUUGGACAAUGGGCGAAAGCCUGAUCCAGCCAUGCCGCGUGAACGAUGAAGGCCUUCGGGUUGUAAAGUUCUUUAGCCGAUGAUUAUAAUGACUGUAGUCGGAAAAUAAGCCCCGGCUAACUUCGUGCCAGCAGCCGCGGUAAUACGAAGGGGGCGAGCGUUAUUCGGAAUCACUGGGCGUAAAGCGUGCGUAGGCGGUUUUGUAAGUUAGGAGUGAAAGCCCAGGGCUCAACCUUGGAAUUGCUCUUAAAACUGCAAGGCUCGAAUCUCGGAGAGGAUAGCGGAAUUUCCAGUGUAGCAGUGAAAUGCGUAGAUAUUGGAAGGAACACCAGUGGCGUAAGCGGCUAUCUGGACGAGUAUUGACACUGAGACACGAAAGCAUGGGGAUCAAACAGGAUUAGAAACCCUGGUAGUCC